CCUGAGGUCGGAUGUUCAACUCAUCCUGGUCCCAAUGUAUUCCAUUGUUUUAAUUACGACAAUACUGUUUUAAGCUAUAAUUAAUAAGAAAAACAAAAAUUUAUUCAAUUUCUAUAUUAAGGUAUACACGAUUACUAACAAUUACAACUUCAUGCCAUUGAGUGUCGGGCAAAUCCAAACUGAAAUCUGCUUUAUGGUAUUUUGCUUGGCUUUUUUGAGUUAUUGUUGCAAACUUGUAACCUAAAACAUAAGAGCGAUAACGAUUUAAUGCAAUCUUUGCCUUCCUCCAACUUAUAACUGGCAAUCUUAUCCGAAUCCCUACCACUAAAUACUGGCAACGAUAAUAAGGAUUUAAGCUCGCUACAAUACUUGUCCUUCUCUCAGACAUCACACUUAGUAAUCUACAUUAUUUCCUAACUAAAAACUAUUUACUAAAUGCAGAUCGUUUAUAAAAUAGGCUGCUGAAAAAUACAAUCCUGUUUAAUCCUUGCACUUUAGCGAAACAACUUCGGGUUUUAUCGAAAGCUUGCUUUUGCUUCUAGACAUUUUUCUUAAUAUCAACAGAUCUCAACUUAACCCAGAAAUUUUAACUUCUUGUGUUUCACAUUCCAACAAUUACUUUAACAAAGUUACUUAAAAACAUACUUAAUUACAAUUUAGGGCAUAAGCCCAAUGGAGGUUAAGGGACUCGAACCCUUGACCCUCGGCUUGC
RNAcentral lists this unclassified non-coding RNA (712 nucleotides) under Borreliella burgdorferi (Lyme disease spirochete). RNAcentral describes it as "partial contains 16S ribosomal RNA and 16S-23S ribosomal RNA intergenic spacer". Lineage: Bacteria; Pseudomonadati; Spirochaetota; Spirochaetia; Spirochaetales; Borreliaceae. The record is from RNAcentral.